GCACCUAUAGGUCAAUGAUAGACUACCUGAUUCUUACUCAGGAGAUGUGAGUUUAAAUCUCUCUAGGUGUACCA
This 74-nucleotide transfer RNA is filed under the name Candidatus Bathyarchaeota archaeon. Its description in RNAcentral is "tRNA-Lys". It matches the Rfam family "tRNA". From Rfam's summary of the family: Transfer RNA (tRNA) molecules are approximately 80 nucleotides in length. Their secondary structure includes four short double-helical elements and three loops (D, anti-codon, and T loops). Lineage: Archaea; Thermoproteati; Candidatus Bathyarchaeota. The record is from RNAcentral.